AAGCACAGAGAAGAUAUAUGUCUUCUGGAGGAAGAGAUGAAGGAAAAAGGAGAAAGGUCUAACACUCUUAGCUCAGCUUAAUGAUUUGGAGAUUCAUCCAUAGUAUCAGUUUGAGACUACUGUGAAUAUAGCAGCACUGAAUGAUGAACUGAAUGCUGAGUUGGGUAAAUACCCAGGAAUGGAACAGCUGAAUCAUAUGCCCCUACUAAAUAACUUUGAACAAGUAUGUCUAAUAUCAAUUAUUUCCUGACCUCAAGAAGUAACAUCUGCAAACAGAGAAAACUCAGUCUCCAAUCACCAAUUUAUCCUUACAAAUUAUAAAUACAGCAUGGGAAUUUAAUGUGAAGCUCUUUAGUACCAUAAGACCAUUUAACUACAUCAGCAAUUUAAAAUAUGCACAGCUAUAUAAACAAAACUAAUCACUGAAAGAAGGGAAUACUACAGAGAUGGCCAAAUAAGGAGGAAAAAAAGAACUCUUUCCUUUUAAUAUCACCUUUGAGAGAAAUGUAUAAUGAAACAGGCUGAAGGUAUGCAAUUCUGAAAUUUAAUACUACUUCUCUUUAUUUAAAAUUAUAUUCCCCAACGUAUCCCAUCACAGCUUUGCUGAUUCCUUCUAAAUUGAAAUACAAUUUUUCUCUGAUCUUUGAUUUAAAGGAUGUCAAACUUCUUAUAAAAAGAGUUACUUGGCAAAGUUCAAGGCAAAAGAGCUAUUUUAAAAUGUUGCUCAUAUCAGAAGUCUGUUUGGAUACUUCGAAAGAGAAAUCCAUAACUGAAGUACCUUUGGUGGCUCUUUGGAAGAAAAGAAAAAAGACCAGACAUUUUAAAUGAAAAAUGUUCUUACCCAGUGAUUCUUUCAUCUCUAUAUGCAAGAGAGAGACUGGGAUUCAAAAAGUUCAUCUGCAACAAAGCCUCACUCUGACCCAUUUAGCAGUUAUAUCAGCCUGCUACCUGAGGUUAUGUAAGAGUUUCCUUCCAUUUGGAAGAGUUCCUAAAAUGGGUACUGUCAAAGCCGGUAAAACUGAAAUCUGACCUACUUUUUUCAAAAGAUUUCCAUGGAUUUUAUGGCAAGUGUAAUUCCUUUUACAAUUGGAACUCUCCUCCUUUCAAAUAAACUGUGUUAACUGAAAUAUGCUAGCAACUGCCUUACUUUUUAAGGGUUAAAAUAUAAAUCCAUAAAAUACAUACAUA
Long non-coding RNA from Callorhinus ursinus (northern fur seal), 1188 nucleotides. RefSeq lists it as uncharacterized. Lineage: Eukaryota; Metazoa; Chordata; Mammalia; Carnivora; Otariidae. The record is from RefSeq and is a predicted model, not a curated record.